GAGGGAGUGGGGUGGGACCCAGCUGUUGGCCAUGGUGACGACACCUGGGUUCUCCCCUCUAG
MicroRNA precursor from Gorilla gorilla gorilla (western lowland gorilla), 62 nucleotides. NCBI's taxonomy places the organism in Eukaryota, Metazoa, Chordata, Mammalia, Primates, Hominidae. The record is from Ensembl.